AUUGAACGCUGGCGGCAGGCUUAACACAUGCAAGUCGAGCGGGGGAAGGUAGCUUGCUACCGGACCUAGCGGCGGACGGGUGAGUAAUGCUUAGGAAUCUGCCUAUUAGUGGGGGACAACAUCUCGAAAGGGAUGCUAAUACCGCAUCCGUCCUACGGGAGAAAGCAGGGGAUCUUCGGACCUUGCGCUAAUAGCUGAGCCUAAGUCGGCUUAGCUAGUUGGUGGGGUAAAGGCCUACCAAGGCGAAGAUCUGUAGCGGGUCUGAGAGGAUGAUCCGCCACACUGGGACUGAGACACGGCCCAGACUCCUACGGGAGGCAGCAGUGGGGAAUAUUGGACAAUGGGGGGAACCCUGAUCCAGCCAUGCCGCGUGUGUGAAGAAGGCCUUAUGGUUGUAAAGCACUUUAAGCGAGGAGGAGGCUACUUUAGUUAAUACCUAGAGAUAGUGGACGUUACUCGCAGAAUAAGCACCGGCUAACUCUGUGCCAGCCGCCGCCGUAA
This 501-nucleotide ribosomal RNA is filed under the name uncultured bacterium. RNAcentral's name for it is "partial 16S ribosomal RNA". It matches the Rfam family "Bacterial small subunit ribosomal RNA", at positions 30 to 523 of the family's 1533-position model. The record is from RNAcentral.